Molecule: long non-coding RNA, 1714 nt
Organism: Papaver somniferum (opium poppy)
Lineage: Eukaryota; Viridiplantae; Streptophyta; Magnoliopsida; Ranunculales; Papaveraceae
Exons: 11
Source: RefSeq, a predicted model, not a curated record
CUUCUUCUUUUACCCGAACCCCUCUAAAAAAACCAAAAAACCAGUCUUCAUCUCCAUCUCCAUCUCCAUCUCCAUCUCCAACGAUUUCAGCUAAGUUUUACUGCCAUUGAAAAGAUGUUGAUUUAAACUGUAUCAAUAUCAUCACCGCUUUUCAUCUCUAUCAAUCUGGAUUUCAUGCAACUGAAGAUGAUGGUUAAUCGGUGAUUAUGGUGAUGAUUUGUUGGAUUCUCUCUGUCUUAGAUUAGGAAGAUCUGUGGUGUAUUGAUAUUUGCAGUAAGAACUGUGGUGUAUUGGUUGGUAGAUAGUGGAAUGCAAUUGGGAAGGAUACGAUUUUUCUGGGAGGCCUGUAUCUAAAACUAAAGCUAAAAAACCCAAGGAACGUAAGUACACAUCCAAGGACGGUGAUGAUGCAAUAAUGCCUUAUGCAAUCGAGGGCAUGAGUGAACGGGGAGUCCAGAUUAUGGAUUGUAUAUGUGAUGAGCAUGUGAACUUGGCAUCCCUCAAAGUCGGUGCUACACUAUAUAACCAUCACAGAAAUUAAAUCCUAACCUGACGUGAUCGUUGGCAUUCCAGAUUCUGGUAUAUGGCCUGAGUCAGAGAGCUUUAAUGAGGAAGGAUUAGGUCCUGUUCCUAAGAGAACUGCAAUAGGUUGCUGGUGAUCAGUUCACAUUCAAGAUCUGCAUUUGCAGGGAAAUAUUUGGUGCUCGUUUCUACUCUACUCUAAAGUAAUUGAAGAUGGACCACUUUAGAGUCCUUUGACAAAACCAUUGUGCGGUCACAUUGUGACAACAAUGGCCAUGGACCAGCGUGAUCCACAAUAGUUAAUAAUGUAAUGAGAAAGAAGAGAGCUGAUAUAACUGAUAUUCACCAAAAAAAUGUUUGUGCAGUUAUAUACUCCAUUAUGGCAUGCAGCUGCUCCAAAUUGGAUCAGUUAACUAUACUUGACAAAGAAGGAAUGGGAUUUUUUUCCUUCGGAAACGUCUCUGGAAUGCAUGGUGAAGUUCUCUGAUUACUUUCUUGUUGCUGUAUCCCCUGGAAAUCGAAUUAAGGUUACAAUAAGCACUGGAGUUAUUCAAAGAAAUAAUAACCAAAAGCAUUGCGAGAUAACUGAGACGAAUUGUCCGUGUGCAGACUUGGUUGAGGCGUUUAUCAAGAUAAUAGAGGAGAAGGCUGACAAAAUUGAUAGGGUAGAUCAUUUGGAAAUAUGGAUGCACUCCACCGCCAGCGAGCAAUCUAUGAACUACAAUCUGUGAACUACUUGGCUCAACUUGGGUUUACAUACGAAGGCAAAAGGCUUGAUGGUGAGGCACAUGCUGUCAUGAGAUGGCUCCUAAGUCUCUGGGAUGGUAAUUUGUCUCACCUAUGUACAAUAUACCAGUGCUACUCUCUUUUUCUCCCAUAUAUUUUUCUAGUUAUGUUGUUAGUAAUCCUUAUUGAUCUUUUAACAGUAAGUGGAUUAUGGAGGAUCCGAGUGUUCAUUUUUUAUUGUUGGACAGGUUAUGCGUCAUAUUAAGGGGCUGCAUUAAUUUGAGGAGCAUAGCUCAUUGUGUUAGCUUUGAAUUGUUUUGGGUUAAAUUACAUAACAAAUAGAACGAUUCUGUUGUACUUGUGUUCAGAAUGAAUGUAUGAACGGUAAAUGCGGAUUAUUCUUUUUUUGAGAAUGUAUGAACUGCAGAUUGAAAAAUAAGAAAUUGCAGGCCUGUGUCCAGGUUUA